This 118-nucleotide ribosomal RNA is filed under the name Periophthalmus magnuspinnatus. The record is from RNAcentral. Lineage: Eukaryota; Metazoa; Chordata; Actinopteri; Gobiiformes; Gobiidae.
CAUGUAGACCAUAUCAGUUUGUCAAAACCUGGUCUUGUCAGAUCUCAGGAGCCAAGCAAGGUCAGGCCCGGUUAAUACUCGGAUGAGAGACCACUGGGAAUAUCAGGUGCCACAGUGA